AUAUUGCGCAAUGGAGGAAACUCUGACGCAGCGACGCCGCGUGAGCGAUGAAGGUCUUCGGAUCGUCAAGCUCUGUCCUUGGGGAAGAAGAUCGAAAGAUUUGACGGUACCCGAGGAGGAAGCCCCGGCUAACUACGUGCCAGCAGCCGCGGUAAUACGUAGGGGGCAAGCGUUGUCCGGAAUUAUUGGGCGUAAAGGGUGCGUAGGCGGCUUUUUAAGUCAGAUGUGAAAGACCACGGCUUAACCGUGGGGUUGCAUUUGAAACUGUGUGGCUUGAGUUAAGGAGAGGAAAGUGGAAUUCCUGGUGUAGCGGUGAAAUGCGUAGAUAUCAGGAGGAAUACCAGUGGCGAAGGCGGCUUUCUGGUCUGUAACUGACGCUGAGGCGCGAAAGCGUGGGGAGCAAACA
Molecule: ribosomal RNA, 406 nt
Filed under: uncultured bacterium
Lineage: Bacteria
Description: partial 16S ribosomal RNA
Rfam family: Bacterial small subunit ribosomal RNA
Source: RNAcentral